GAUGAACGCUGGCGGCGUGCCUAAUACAUGCAAGUCGAGCGAACGGACGAGAAGCUUGCUUCUCUGAUGUUAGCGGCGGACGGGUGAGUAACACGUGGAUAACCUACCUAUGAGACUGGGAUAACUUCGGGAAACCGGAGCUAAUACCGGAUAAUAUUUUGAACCGCAUGGUUCAAAAGUGAAAGACGGUCUUGCUGUCACUUAUAGAUGGAUCCGCGCUGCAUUAGCUAGUUGGUAAGGUAACGGCUUACCAAGGCAACGAUGCAUAGCCGACCUGAGAGGGUGAUCGGCCACACUGGAACUGAGACACGGUCCAGACUCCUACGGGAGGCAGCAGUAGGGAAUCUUCCGCAAUGGGCGAAAGCCUGACGGAGCAACGCCGCGUGAGUGAUGAAGGUCUUCGGAUCGUAAAACUCUGUUAUUAGGGAAGAACAUAUGUGUAAGUAACUGUGCACAUCUUGACGGUACCUAAUCAGAAAGCCACGGCUAACUACGUGCCAGCAGCCGCGGUAAUACGUAGGUGGCAAGCGUUAUCCGGAAUUAUUGGGCGUAAAGCGCGCGUAGGCGGUUUUUUAAGUCUGAUGUGAAAGCCCACGGCUCAACCGUGGAGGGUCAUUGGAAACUGGAAAACUUGAGUGCAGAAGAGGAAAGUGGAAUUCCAUGUGUAGCGGUGAAAUGCGCAGAGAUAUGGAGGAACACCAGUGGCGAAGGCGACUUUCUGGUCUGUAACUGACGCUGAUGUGCGAAAGCGUGGGGAUCAAACAGGUUUAGAUACCCUGGUAGUCCACGCCGUAAACGAUGAGUGCUAAGUGUUAGGGGGUUUCCGCCCCUUAGUGCUGCAGCUAACGCAUUAAGCACUCCGCCUGGGGAGUACGACCGCAAGGUUGAAACUCAAAGGAAUUGACGGGGACCCGCACAAGCGGUGGAGCAUGUGGUUUAAUUCGAAGCAACGCGAAGAACCUUACCAAAUCUUGACAUCCUUUGACAACUCUAGAGAUAGAGCCUUCCCCUUCGGGGGACAAAGUGACAGGUGGUGCAUGGUUGUCGUCAGCUCGUGUCGUGAGAUGUUGGGUUAAGUCCCGCAACGAGCGCAACCCUUAAGCUUAGUUGCCAUCAUUAAGUUGGGCACUCUAAGUUGACUGCCGGUGACAAACCGGAGGAAGGUGGGGAUGACGUCAAAUCAUCAUGCCCCUUAUGAUUUGGGCUACACACGUGCUACAAUGGACAAUACAAAGGGCAGCGAAACCGCGAGGUCAAGCAAAUCCCAUAAAGUUGUUCUCAGUUCGGAUUGUAGUCUGCAACUCGACUACAUGAAGCUGGAAUCGCUAGUAAUCGUAGAUCAGCAUGCUACGGUGAAUACGUUCCCGGGUCU
This 1372-nucleotide ribosomal RNA is filed under the name uncultured bacterium. Its description in RNAcentral is "bacterial SSU rRNA". It matches the Rfam family "Bacterial small subunit ribosomal RNA", at positions 28 to 1381 of the family's 1533-position model. The record is from RNAcentral.